RNAcentral lists this transfer RNA (70 nucleotides) under Manacus vitellinus (golden-collared manakin). It matches the Rfam family "tRNA". Rfam says of the family: Transfer RNA (tRNA) molecules are approximately 80 nucleotides in length. Their secondary structure includes four short double-helical elements and three loops (D, anti-codon, and T loops). Lineage: Eukaryota; Metazoa; Chordata; Aves; Passeriformes; Pipridae. The record is from Rfam by way of RNAcentral.
GGGUUGGCUCAGUUGGUUAGAGCAUGGUGCUAAUAAUGCCAAGGUCUGGGUUCAAUCCCCAUACAAGCCA